RNAcentral lists this long non-coding RNA (1005 nucleotides) under Chrysolophus pictus (golden pheasant). RNAcentral's name for it is "lncRNA (ENSCPIG00010009107.1)". Lineage: Eukaryota; Metazoa; Chordata; Aves; Galliformes; Phasianidae. The record is from RNAcentral.
GUCAAGCACACAGCAGUGAAUGGGAGAGGUGCGUUGAAACGUGGGCCAGACAGUGACAAACCCUGACUUUGUGCAUCAGUAGCAAUCAAUGCCCUGCAUAAAUACAGAAGCUCUGGACAGCUAAUCUGGAGGCAGUAACACCAUUUCUACAUUUUCACACACAUUAGGACUUUCUCAGGAGGCUUUUGAUCCAAUUCUACCCUUUGGUGUUCUACCAGCUGGUAAGGACUAUUGAAAUACAGUGGUUUUCCGAACACAUCUCUUCUUCAAAAUAGAUUUGGUUUGGUUUGUUUUUUUUUUUUUUUUAAGACUAGUGUGAGUAUGUGACAUGCUUGGAGGUACUAAUCACCCGCUGGCAGGUAAAAAUUAACCUGAAGGAAUAGGUUUUGAUCUAAGAGAGCUAUCUACUUAGACUUUGGACAGUGGGAUUUCUCCUGACUAGAUAAGAUUUCUCCUUCAGCACACACAAAACAGACAUUCGUCUCUUGUAAGUUAUUACCAAUGAAUGUAGGAUACUGACAGGGCCUUUGGUGCAAAGCACUCUGGACACAGCCAUUUAUUUGACAUUGUACAGCAUGCGACUCACUGAAUUUCUAAAUGCAUUCCUCUGACCCACUCUACAGCUGCCAGUGUUUGUCUGCGUCUGGAGGGAAACCAGCCCACACCCUCCAGCCAGAAAUGCCAGCUUACAGCAUUUCAGAGUGGGAAUCAUAACAGAAAAUGUACAGCACCGGUGAGACUGCGGCUUGGUUGUGGGAGCUGACAGAACAGUACGCAGUGAGAGAAGGCACGGUGUCAGCUGGAGGACGGCAGAUCACGCCAGCAAAGCUGCAAUAGGCAAACACGAAGCGUGCCGCUCCGCCGCCGGGGCUGCGGGGAGACUCAGAGCGGGCGGGGGGCGUGGCCGAGGGAGGGGGCGCCCGACCGUGGGCGUGGCUAAGGACGGGCGUGGUCACGCAUAGGGGCGUGGUCAACGAGGGGGCGUGGCGAGGCUCGCGCCCCCCG